GAUGAACGCUGGCGGCGUGCCUAAUACAUGCAAGUCGAGCGAACAGACGAGGAGCUUGCUCCUCUGACGUUAGCGGCGGACGGGUGAGUAACACGUGGAUAACCUACCUAUAAGACUUGGAUAACUUCGGGAAACCGGAGCUAAUACCGGAUAAUAUAUUGAACCGCAUGGUUCAAUAGUGAAAGACGGUUUUGCUGUCACUUAUAGAUGUAUCCGCGCCGCAUUAGCUAGUUGGUAAGGUAACGGCUUACCAAGGCAACGAUGCGUAGCCGACCUGAGAGGGUGAUCGGCCACACUGGAACUGAGACACGGUCCAGACUCCUACGGGAGGCAGCAGUAGGGAAUCUUCCGCAAUGGGCGAAAGCCUGACGGAGCAACGCCGCGUGAGUGAUGAAGGUCUUCGGAUCGUAAAACUCUGUUAUUAGGGAAGAACAAAUGUGUAAGUAACUAUGCACGUCUUGACGGUACCUAAUCAGAAAGCCACGGCUAACUACGUG
This 497-nucleotide ribosomal RNA is filed under the name uncultured bacterium. Its description in RNAcentral is "partial 16S ribosomal RNA". It matches the Rfam family "Bacterial small subunit ribosomal RNA", at positions 28 to 507 of the family's 1533-position model. The record is from RNAcentral.